ACUGCUCAGUAACACGUGGACAACCUGCCCUUAGGACGGGGAUAAACCCGGGAAACUGGGUAUAAUACCCGAUAGGUCUCGAUUGCUGGAAUGCAUCGAGAUUUAAAGCUCCGGCGCCUAAGGAUGGGUCUGCGGCCUAUCAGGUAGUAGUGGGUGUAGCGUACCUACUAGCCUACGACGGGUACGGGUUGUGAGAGCAAGAGCCCGGAGAUGGAUUCUGAGACACGAAUCCAGGCCCUACGGGGUGCAGCAGGCGCGAAAACUUUACAAUGCUGGCAACAGCGAUAAGGGAGCCUCGAGUGCCAGGUUACAAAUCUGGCUGUCGAGAUGCCUAAAAAGCAUUUCAUAGCAAGGGCCGGGCAAGACCGGUGCCAGCCGCCGCGGUAACACCGGCGGCUCGAGUGGUAACCGUUAUUAUUGGGUCUAAAGGGUCUGUAGCCGGCCGGAUAAGUCUCUUGAGAAAUCUGGCAGCUUAACUGUCAGGCUUUCAGGAGAUACUGUCUGGCUCGAGGCCGGGAGAGGUGAGAGGUACUUCAGGGGUAGGGGUGAAAUCUUGUAAUCCUUGAAGGACCACCAGUGGCGAAGGCGUCUCACCAGAACGGACCUGACGGCAAGGGACGAAAGCUAGGGGCACGAACCGGAUUAGAUACCCGGGUAGUCCUAGCCGUAAACGAUACUCGCUAGGUGUCGGCCACGGUGCGACCGUUGUCGGUGCCGUAGGGAAGCCGUGAAGCGAGCCACCUGGGAAGUACGGCCGCAAGGCUGAAACUUAAAGGAAUUGGCGGGGGAGCAC
Molecule: ribosomal RNA, 793 nt
Filed under: Methanosaeta sp. enrichment culture clone A5_45
Lineage: Archaea; Methanobacteriati; Methanobacteriota; Methanomicrobia; Methanotrichales; Methanotrichaceae
Description: bacterial SSU rRNA
Rfam family: Archaeal small subunit ribosomal RNA
Source: RNAcentral